This 618-nucleotide ribosomal RNA is filed under the name Tannerella forsythia. Its description in RNAcentral is "bacterial SSU rRNA". It matches the Rfam family "Bacterial small subunit ribosomal RNA", at positions 126 to 741 of the family's 1533-position model. Lineage: Bacteria; Pseudomonadati; Bacteroidota; Bacteroidia; Bacteroidales; Tannerellaceae. The record is from RNAcentral.
AUGCCCGCAACAGGGGGAUAACCCGGCGAAAGUCGGACUAAUACCGCAUAAAACAGGGGUCCCGCAUGGGAAUAUUUGUUAAAGAUUUAUCGGUUGCGGAUGGGCAUGCGUACCAUUAGGUAGUUGGUGAGGUAACGGCUCACCAAGCCUUCGAUGGUUAGGGGUUCUGAGAGGAAGGUCCCCCACACUGGUACUGAGACACGGACCAGACUCCUACGGGAGGCAGCAGUGAGGAAUAUUGGUCAAUGGGCGAGAGCCUGAACCAGCCAAGUCGCGUGAAGGAUGACUGCCCUAUGGGUUGUAAACUUCUUUUACAAGGGAAUAAAAUGAGAUACGUGUAUUUUAUUGCAUGUACCUUGGGAAUAAGCAUCGGCUAACUCCGUGCCAGCAGCCGCGGUAAUACGGAGGAUGCGAGCGUUAUCCGGAUUUAUUGGGUUUAAAGGGUGCGUAGGUGGGCUAUUAAGUCAGCGGUGAAAGUUUGUCGCUUAACGAUAAAAUUGCCGUUGAAACUGGUAGUCUUGAGUAUAGAUGAAGUAGGCGGAAUGCGUGGUGUAGCGGUGAAAUGCAUAGAGAUCACGCAGAACUCCGAUUGCGAAGGCAGCUUACUAAGGUAUAACU